CAAGCAAGCUGAACAGCCGCCUGCGCGCCGUAAGGGCGUGUGGGAGGAAAGUCCGGGCUUCGCAGAGCAGGAUAGCGGCUAACGGCCGCCGAGGGUGACCUCAGGACAAGUGCAACAGAGAUAUACCGCCUGCCUUUGGCAGGUAAGGGUGGAAAGGCGGGGUAAGAGCCCACCGGUGACGCGGGAGACCGCGCCACCCUGUAAACUCUAUCCGAAGCAACAUCAAGUGAAGACGCAUGGGCUUGCUCGGCCCGUCUUCCAAAAGGGUGGCUUGAGGGCUGCGGCAACGUAUGCUCCAGACAGAUGGCUGUUUUUAACAGAACCCGGCUUACAGGCCCGCAGGCAGC
RNAcentral lists this RNase P RNA (347 nucleotides) under Clostridium sp. SCN 57-10. RNAcentral describes it as "RNase P RNA component class A". It matches the Rfam family "Bacterial RNase P class A". From Rfam's summary of the family: Ribonuclease P (RNase P) is a ubiquitous endoribonuclease, found in archaea, bacteria and eukarya as well as chloroplasts and mitochondria. The record is from RNAcentral. Lineage: Bacteria; Bacillati; Bacillota; Clostridia; Eubacteriales; Clostridiaceae.